Molecule: ribosomal RNA, 468 nt
Filed under: uncultured bacterium
Lineage: Bacteria
Description: partial 16S ribosomal RNA
Rfam family: Bacterial small subunit ribosomal RNA
Source: RNAcentral
GACGAACGCUGGCGGCGUGCUUAACACAUGCAAGUCGAACGGAAAGGCCCUGCUUUUGUGGGGUGCUCGAGUGGCGAACGGGUGAGUAACACGUGAGUAACCUGCCCUUGACUUUGGGAUAACUUCAGGAAACUGGGGCUAAUACCGGAUAGGAGCUCCUGCUGCAUGGUGGGGGUUGGAAAGUUUCGGCGGUUGGGGAUGGACUCGCGGCUUAUCAGCUUGUUGGUGGGGUAGUGGCUUACCAAGGCUUUGACGGGUAGCCGGCCUGAGAGGGUGACCGGCCACAUUGGGACUGAGGUAAGGCCCAGACUCCUACGGGAGGCAGCAGGGGGGAAUAUUGCACAAUGGGCGGAAGCCUGAUGCAGCAACGCCGCGUGCGGGAUGACGGCCUUCGGGUUGUAAACCGCUUUCGCCUGUGACGAAGCGUGAGUGACGGUAAUGGGUAAAGAAGCACCGGCUAACUACGUG